GGCUUGUGGCAGCCAAGCGU
Molecule: small nuclear RNA, 20 nt
Filed under: Arabidopsis thaliana (thale cress)
Lineage: Eukaryota; Viridiplantae; Streptophyta; Magnoliopsida; Brassicales; Brassicaceae
Description: snRNA_16254
Source: RNAcentral